UGUCCAAUGCGGGAAUCGAACCCGGGUCGUAGUGGUCGAAAACCAAACGGUUUAACCAGCCUUCCACCGAACCCCAC
Cordylochernes scorpioides is the source of this 77-nucleotide non-coding RNA. The record is from the annotation of a GenBank genome assembly. Lineage: Eukaryota; Metazoa; Arthropoda; Arachnida; Pseudoscorpiones; Chernetidae.